GACGAACGCUGGCGGCGUGCUUAACACAUGCAAGUCGAACGGAAAGGCCCUGCUUUUGUGGGGUGCUCGAGUGGCGAACGGGUGCGUAACACGUGAGUAACCUGCCCUUGACUUUGGUAUAACUUCAGGAAACUGGGGCUAAUACCGGAUAGGAGCUCCUGCUGCAUGGUGGGGGUUGGAAAGUUUCGGCGGUUGGGGAUGGACUCGCGGCUUAUCGGCUUGUUGGUGGGGUAGUGGCUUACCAAGGCUUUGACAGGUAGCCGGCCUGAGAGGGGGAACGGCCACAUUGGGACUGAGAUACGGCCCAGACUCCUACGGGAGGCAGCAGUGGGGAAUAUUGCACAAUGGGCGGAAGCCUGAUGCAGCAACGCCGCGUGCGGGAUGACGGCCUUCGGGUUGUAAACCGCUUUCGCCUGUGACGAAGCGUGAGUGACGGUAAUGGGUAAAGAAGCACCGGCUAACUACGUG
Molecule: ribosomal RNA, 468 nt
Filed under: uncultured bacterium
Lineage: Bacteria
Description: partial 16S ribosomal RNA
Rfam family: Bacterial small subunit ribosomal RNA
Source: RNAcentral